GGCUCUUUGAGUAACUAAAAUAUAGAGAGUCGAGCCUGCCCAGUGAGUUUUCAACGGCCGCGGUACUCUGACCGUGCAAAGGUAGCAUAAUCAUUUGCCCUAUAAUUGAGGGCUAGUAUGAAUGGUUUGACAAGAGCAAGACUGUCUCUUUAAAAUUUAAUAGAAUUUAGUUUUCGGAUGAAGAAAUUCGAAUAAAAUUGAAAGACAAGAAGACCCUAUCGAGCUUUAAAGUACUUUACUAAGAAAUGUUCAGUAAUAAAUCAACUUUAGUAAAAAAUUUUGGUUGGGGCGACUGAGGAACAAAAAAAGCUUCUUUUUAACCGAUGAACCUAUAAGUUUUGAUCCAGAAAUUCUGAUUAAAAAAAUUAGUUACCGUAGGGAUAACAGCAUAAUCUUCUUCAAGAGUCCUUAUCGAAAAGAAGGUUUGUGACCUCGAUGUUGGACUAGGAUAAUCCUAAAGAUGUAGAAG
Molecule: ribosomal RNA, 469 nt
Filed under: Truncatella sp. TT-2014
Lineage: Eukaryota; Metazoa; Mollusca; Gastropoda; Littorinimorpha; Truncatellidae
Description: partial 16S rRNA
Rfam family: Bacterial large subunit ribosomal RNA
Source: RNAcentral